Molecule: long non-coding RNA, 372 nt
Filed under: Junco hyemalis (dark-eyed junco)
Lineage: Eukaryota; Metazoa; Chordata; Aves; Passeriformes; Passerellidae
Description: lncRNA (ENSJHYG00000015861.1)
Source: RNAcentral
UUUCUUUGUCAGGUUUUAUACAAACAUUCUUUCUAAUGUUCUCCUCAUCAAAGUGUGACAGUGUCACAUUGCUUCCAUCAUCCAGAAAGCAAAUGUAUCUGAGUAGGAGGAAUUUAGCUAUAUUUCACAUCAUGGAGGCAAAAUCUGCAAAAUUUAAAAAUGGAGAGCAAUAGUAUAGAAAGGAAUUGCUUUACAGGUGUUGCUUUAAAUUACAUUUUUGUAGAUGAUGAAGCAUGCAGGAGACUUCUGUUGCAUUCCUUCGAGCAUAGUUGUUUUCUCAUCACAUCUGUCUGACAUGUUAUAGUGUUACUGUAAGUUUGCCUCCCUGCUCUGUGGUUCAUGGAAGGAAUUUUGUUGCAUGUUUCCACCCCA